GCCCGCAUAGCUCAGUUGACAGAGCGACACAUAGGCUUGGUAGUAACGGUAAUAGACACCCGGUUUGAAGACAGAGUACGGGAAUCCAAGACAUUGAGUAGGUCGCCGGUUUGAAUCCGGCUGUGGGCACCA
This 132-nucleotide transfer RNA is filed under the name Bacteroidales bacterium. Its description in RNAcentral is "tRNA-OTHER". It matches the Rfam family "tRNA". From Rfam's summary of the family: Transfer RNA (tRNA) molecules are approximately 80 nucleotides in length. Their secondary structure includes four short double-helical elements and three loops (D, anti-codon, and T loops). Lineage: Bacteria; Pseudomonadati; Bacteroidota; Bacteroidia; Bacteroidales. The record is from RNAcentral. RNAcentral also lists the same sequence under 1 other name.